CACUAUCACAGGAUAACAGCCUUGCACUAAUUUUAGGAAUCAGCACAUCU
This 50-nucleotide transfer RNA is filed under the name Hemidactylus bowringii. Its description in RNAcentral is "partial tRNA-Leu". Lineage: Eukaryota; Metazoa; Chordata; Lepidosauria; Squamata; Gekkonidae. The record is from RNAcentral.